ACAGUUGUAAUUCAACAGCACUGACUCCUGCUGUUGGAAUGGAGGACCAUGCUGAAUGAUGAGAAAGCUGGCGCAUCUUGGCAAACUUCCCAGGCAUCCGCCCUGGGCGAGCUGAGGGGCAUGUAUCAUACUUUCAGAGGGAUGGUGCAGAAGGGAAACUGCAGAGAGAUGCUAACAUUUCAGUGAGCCCUGCCACUCCAAGACUGCGAAGAGAUAGGAAGGGCCACACAAGCUCCCUGUUCAAGGACCUUUCCUUUCCAGAGGGCACUGCUGGCUCCAGGGCUCCUCAAGAAAUGCUUGGAGAAAUGCUGAUUUAAGACUGCACCUCUUGGUCAAACACUGAGUGACACGUAAUCAGACACUUGAGGAGAUGGCGCUUCUCAAAGAGAAAACAUUCAACCCACUCUCAUAAUGAUGAGCCUAGAGAAUGGAGCUUGUGUAGCUUCUGCACCAGUCAAGUUAGCGGCGAUGAGGGAUGAGGGUGUUGGGCAGUCCCAACUCUCCUUCUGCUGAGUGACUGCCAGGCUACUGUGGGUGUGAUUCCGCUGUGUUUAAGGCUACCACGGAGCUGACAAGAGAGGCAUGAGAAUAAAGAAG
Molecule: long non-coding RNA, 597 nt
Organism: Chinchilla lanigera (long-tailed chinchilla)
Lineage: Eukaryota; Metazoa; Chordata; Mammalia; Rodentia; Chinchillidae
Exons: 3
Source: RefSeq, a predicted model, not a curated record